CGUACUUUUUGUAGAACGGGCCAACGAGUUACGUUAAGUAGCAAGGUUAAGCACUUAAGGUGCGGAGCCGUAGCGAAAGCGAGUUUUAACUGAGCGUUCAGUUACUUGACGUAGACCCGAAACCGGGCGACCUACCCAUGAGCAGGAUGAAGCGAAAGUAAAAUUUCGUGGAGGUCCGAACCCACGAGCGUUGAAAAGCUCGGGGAUGACUUGUGGGUAGCGGUGAAAUUCCAAUCGAGCCCGGAGAUAGCUGGUUCUCCCCGAAAUAGCUUUAGGGCUAGCCUCAAGGUGAGAGAUACGGAGGUAGAGCACUGAAUGUCCUAGGGGGUAUUGCACCUACCGAAGACUAUCAAACUCCGAAUGCCGUCAUCUUAUACUUGGGAGUCAGACUGUGGGUGAUAAGAUUCAUAGUCGAAAGGGCAACAGCCCAGAUCGUCAGCUAAGGUCCCUAAAUGUAAGUUAAGUGGUAAAGGAUGUGGGAUUGCACAGACAACCAGGAUGUUGGCUUAGAAGCAGCCACUCAUUCAAAGAGUGCGUAAUAGCUCACUGGUCGAGUGAUCCUGCGCCGAAGAUUUCCGGGGCUAAAACUUACUACCGAAGCUACGGCAUCAGUAAUGAUGGGUAGGGGAGCUUCCCAUACGGGUUGAAGCAUGACCGUAAGGACAUGUGGACAGUAUGGGAGUGAGAAUGUUGGCAUGAGUAGCGAGAUGUGGGUGAGAAUCCCACAGGCCGUAAACCCAAGGUUUCCAGGGGAAGGUUCGUCCGCCCUGGGUUAGUCGGGACCUAAGCUGAGGCCGAAAGGCGUAGGUGAUGGACAACAGGUUGAUAUUCCUGUACUACCGAUAACCGUUUGAGAGAAGGGAUGACACAGUAGGAUAAGCUAAGCACACUGUUGGUUAUGUGUGCCCAAGCAUUGAGGCAGUCAAAGUAGGCAAAUCCGCUUUGAUAAUGCUGGGAUGUGAUGGGGAGCGAAAUUUAGUAGCGAAGUAGCUGAUUUCACACUGUCAAGAAAAGUCUCUAUCGAGGUUAAAGGUACCCGUACCGCAAACCGACACAGGUGGGUGAGGAGAGUAUCCUAAGGCCAGCGAGAGAACUGUUGUUAAGGAACUCGGCAAAAUGACCCCGUAACUUAGGGAUAAGGGGUGCCACCAUCAGGUGGCCGCAGAGAAUAGGCCCAAGCGACUGUUUACCAAAAACAUAGGUUUCUGCUAAGUCGCAAGACGAUGUAUAGGAGCUGACGCCUGCCCGGUGCUGGAAGGUUAAGGGGAUCUGUUAGAGCAAUCGAAGCAGUGAACUUAAGCCCCAGUAAACGGCGGCCGUAACUAUAACGGUCCUAAGGUAGCGAAAUUCCUUGUCGGGUAAGUUCCGACCCGCACGAAAGGCGUAACGAUUUGGGCACUGUCUCAACAACAGACUCGGUGAAAUUGUAAUUCCGGUGAAGAUGCCGGAUACCUGCGACAGGACGGAAAGACCCCAUGGAGCUUUACUGUAGCUUGACAUUGGGUCUUGGUACUACAUGUACAGGAUAGGUGGGAGGCUUUGAAACCAGGACGCCAGUUUUGGCGGAGCCAUCCUUGGGAUACCACCCUUGUAGUACUGGGACUCUAACCAUAGGCCAUGAAUCUGGUCUUGGGACACUGUCAGGUGGGCAGUUUGACUGGGGCGGUCGCCUCCCAAAAGGUAACGGAGGCGCUCAAAGGUUCUCUCAGUACGGUCGGAAAUCGUACGUAGAGUGUAAAGGCAAAAGAGAGCUUGAUUGCAAGACAUACAGGUCGAGCAAGGAUGAAAAUCGGACUUAGUGAUCCGGUGGUUCUGCGUGGAAGGGCCAUCGCUCAACGGAUAAAAGCUACCCUGGGGAUAACAGGCUUAUCUCCCCCAAGAGUCCACAUCGACGGGGAGGUUUGGCACCUCGAUGUCGGCUCAUCACAUCCUGGGGCUGUAGUAGGUCCCAAGGGUUGGGCUGUUCGCCCAUUAAAGUGGUACGCGAGCUGGGUUCAGAACGUCGUGAGACAGUUCGGUCCCUAUCCGUCGCAGGCGUAGGAAAUUUGAGAAGACCUGUCCUUAGUACGAGAGGACCGGGAUGGACGUACCUCUGGUGUACCAGUUGUUCUGCCAAGGGCAUGGCUGGGUAGCUAUGUACGGAAUGGAUAAGCGCUGAAAGCAUCUAAGCGCGAAGCCAACUUCAAGAUAAGAUUUCCCACCGCAAGGGUAAGACCCCAGAAAGACUAUCUGGUUGAUAGGUCGAAGGUGUAAGUGCAGCAAUGUAUUUAGCUUAUCGAUACUAAUAGGUCGAGGACUUGACCAAU
Molecule: ribosomal RNA, 2306 nt
Filed under: Clostridioides difficile
Lineage: Bacteria; Bacillati; Bacillota; Clostridia; Peptostreptococcales; Peptostreptococcaceae
Description: partial 23S ribosomal RNA
Rfam family: Bacterial large subunit ribosomal RNA
Source: RNAcentral